Molecule: ribosomal RNA, 253 nt
Filed under: uncultured bacterium
Lineage: Bacteria
Description: partial 16S ribosomal RNA
Rfam family: Bacterial small subunit ribosomal RNA
Source: RNAcentral
UACGGAGGGUGCAAGCGUUAUCCGGAUUCACUGGGUUUAAAGGGUGCGUAGGUGGAAAUUUAAGUCAGUGGUGAAAGCCCCGAGCUCAACUUGGGAACUGCCAUUGAUACUGAUUUUCUUGAAUACGGUUGAGGUAAGUAGAAUACGACAUGUAGCGGUGAAAUGCUUAGAUAUGUCGUAGAAUACCAAUUGUGAAGACAGCUUACUAAGCCGUUAUUGACACUGAGGCACGAAAGCGUGGGGAGCAAACAGG